UUAGCCCACAAGUAUUAAAGGUCCUGCCUGCCCAGUGACCCAAUUAAACGGCCGCGGUACCCUAACCGUGCAAAGGUAGCGUAAUCACUUGUCCUUUAAAUGAGGACCUGUAUGAACGGCUAAAUGAGGGCCCAACUGUCUCCUGCAGCCACCCAAUGAACCUGAUCUCCCAGUACAAAAGCUGGGAUACACAUAUAAGACGAGAAGACCCUGUGGAUCUUAAAACACACCAACUACCAUCCACACGGACUCCGCCAGUAGUAAUGUUUUUAGUUGGGGCGACUAUGGAGCAAAACAAAACCUCCACGAACUAAGGCUAACACCAAACCAAAGGAACACCCACCAAUACAACCUUGACCCAGCAUAGCUGACCACCGAACCAAGUUACCCCAGGGAUAACAGCGCCAUCCCCUUACAGAGUCCAUAUCGCCAAGGGGGCUUACGACCUCGAUGUUGGAUCAGGACACCCAGGCGGCGCAGCAACUGCCAACGGUUCGUUUGUUCAACGACUAAUGUCCUACGUGAUCUGAGUUCAGACCGGCU
This 543-nucleotide ribosomal RNA is filed under the name Cnemaspis cf. heteropholis. RNAcentral describes it as "partial large subunit ribosomal RNA". It matches the Rfam family "Bacterial large subunit ribosomal RNA", at positions 1834 to 2621 of the family's 2925-position model. The record is from RNAcentral. Lineage: Eukaryota; Metazoa; Chordata; Lepidosauria; Squamata; Gekkonidae.